This 497-nucleotide ribosomal RNA is filed under the name uncultured bacterium. RNAcentral's name for it is "partial 16S ribosomal RNA". It matches the Rfam family "Bacterial small subunit ribosomal RNA", at positions 28 to 507 of the family's 1533-position model. The record is from RNAcentral.
GAUGAACGCUGGCGGCGUGCCUAAUACAUGCAAGUCGAGCGAACAGACGAGGAGCUUGCUCCUCUGACGUUAGCGGCGGACAGGGGAGUAACACGUGGAUAACCCACCUAUAAGACUGGGAUAAAUUCGGGAAACCGGAGCCAAUACCGGAUAAUAUAUUGAACCGCAUGGUUCAAUAGUGAAAGACGGUUUUGCUGUCACUUAUAGAUGGAUCCGCGCCGCAUUAGCUAGUUGGUAAGGUAACGGCUUACCAAGGCAACGAUGCGUAGCCGACCUGAGAGGGUGAUCGGCCACACUGGAACUGAGACACGGUCCAGACUCCUACGGGAGGCAGCAGUAGGGAAUCUUCCGCAAUGGGCGAAAGCCUGACGGAGCAACGCCGCGUGAGUGAUGAAGGUCUUCGGAUCGUAAAACUCUGUUAUUAGGGAAGAACAAAUGUGUAAGUAACUAUGCACGUCUUGACGGUACCUAAUCAGAAAGCCACGGCUAACUACGUG